UAAGAUGUACGCAGUCCAUACCUCUACCUCUGAUGAAGUAGAAAGACUGUUUUCGAAAGACCCCCGGCUCAAGGCACGAGAUACCACACAAACAUAUAGUAAAGCACAGAAGCAGAUUACAUAACAUAAAUACGGCACCCAUAAGUAAUAUAAAACAGAGGAAAGUAGAGGAAAGCACACAGAUUCGUAAUAAAACAUGGAACACGGAACACGGAAUCAUAACAGGAAUAAAACCCCCACC
RNAcentral lists this long non-coding RNA (241 nucleotides) under Capsicum annuum. RNAcentral's name for it is "long non-coding RNA (CANN_LNC020429)". The record is from RNAcentral. Lineage: Eukaryota; Viridiplantae; Streptophyta; Magnoliopsida; Solanales; Solanaceae.